RNAcentral lists this ribosomal RNA (627 nucleotides) under proteobacterium Se1Pw_3014. RNAcentral describes it as "bacterial SSU rRNA". It matches the Rfam family "Bacterial small subunit ribosomal RNA", at positions 388 to 1008 of the family's 1533-position model. Lineage: Bacteria; Pseudomonadati; Pseudomonadota. The record is from RNAcentral.
CCAGCCAUGCCGCGUGCGGGAAGAAGGCCUUCGGGUUGUAAACCGCUUUUGUCAGGGAAGAAACGGUUCUUACUAAUAUUAGGAACUAAUGACGGUUCCUGAACAAUAAGCACCGGCUAACUACGUGCCAGCAGCCGCGGUAAUACGUAUGGUGCAAGCGUUAAUCGGAAUUACUGGGCGUAAAGCGUGCGCAAGCGGCUUUGCCAGACAUAUGUGAGAUCCCCGGGCUCAACCUGGGAACUGCAUUUGUGACUGCUGGGCUUGAGUACGGUAGAGGGGGAUGGAAUUCCGCGUGUAACAAUGAAAUGCGUAAAUGUGCGGAGGAACACCGAUGGUGAAGGCAAUCCCCUGGACCUGGACUGACGCUCAUGCACAAAAGCCUGGGGAGCCCACACGAUUAAAUACCCUGGUAAUCCACGCCCUAAACGAUGUCAACUGGUUGUUGGACGGCUUGCUGUUCACUAACCAGGCUAACGCGUGAAGUUGACCGCCUGGCGAAUACAGUCACAGGGUUGAGCCUCAGAGGAGUUGACGGUGACUCGCAUCAGCGCUGGAUGAAGAGGUUUAAUUCCCUGUGACGCGUAAAACCUUACCUACCCAUGACAUGUCUUCAAGUUACCAGAGAUG